Rana temporaria (common frog) is the source of this 307-nucleotide long non-coding RNA. RefSeq lists it as uncharacterized. NCBI's taxonomy places the organism in Eukaryota, Metazoa, Chordata, Amphibia, Anura, Ranidae. The record is from RefSeq and is a predicted model, not a curated record. The transcript has 2 exons.
UUUAUAUUAUCAAUCUUUUUUUUUUUUUCCAUCAGAUUCCAGCAUACAAUACUGUCUCAUCAAGAACCAACCAUCGAAGUACUGCGCUUCAAUCAUCACCUAGAAUUUGCUACGGUCGUACCAUCCGGAUAUACCCCUGAUGAAGGGACCACUCAUAUGUCCCGAAAAAGCAUCUGGUGGAUCAAUGACCACACUCAUCGACUCAUUAUCGUAUCACUGCACAUUGUUUUGUUAAAUUCAUUGUUGGUGUCUCCUACACCAUUUUUAUAUUUAUAUACUUUUUCAUUAAAUUAUAUAUUUUUAAUUA